CACACAAACAUACGCAUGUACACAGAUGCAUACGCGCACACAUGUGCACGCACAUACAUGCAUACAUACAUACAUGCAUACAUACAUACAUACAUACAUACAUACAUACAUACAUACAUACAUACACACGUACGUAUAUAUCAUGAACUAACUGUUACUUUCUCAGAUGCAGCACAGAAUUUUGUCAGUGAACAGGUCGCGGUCUCAAAGCGACGAAAAUAUUUUGGCGAAUUAAAUUCAAAUAUUGAAGUGAAUCUAACGGGUUUUGUGUGUUAUUUUAAAUGGCUUAUAAACACCUUCCACGCUGCAAUUGUUUUCGUUCCAGCACACGAUCUCAGAUCAGGUCACUUGUUUUGCGCAUGACGUGCACUCGCGCUAGGUAGUUGUAGAAUCGACUAGUCACGACUCGCUAGUGCAGAUGCGCGAGUGUGCGAAUGAGUGCAACGGGACCACCCUUCUCGAAUAGUUACCCAUGCAGUAUUCGUCUGACCUCUUACAGCUCUGGUCGUUUGACCACACACCAACCAGCCGGUUUCCAGCGACGACGUCAACACCACCGAUCUACUGUCUACUACGAUGUCAUCGCCAGUGCCAACAACACCACCAGAGUAUACGCUACCAACAGCAAACGCGGUUCCUUCUCAACACUGUUUGUGUGGAUUGCUUCCACCUCGAAAAUAACAGCCAGAACAACCUGCGAGAAUCUUCUGUAUUCAAGUAACCAGUCACAGCAUCAACACUCAACUUCACACACAACAUGUGACACCUCAGCUCUGCUAUUUGGCCAUGACUUCUUGUGUACGGACAUUCUACCUACUGUGUAACUCUUCUAUGAACUGGUGUUUCUCUAUCUUUGUGUUCAGGACUCUUAUAGUCUGUUACAGACUCUUAUUCCAUGUACUGUAUUUCUCAUUCACAUACACACACAUAUUAUUGUAUACACACUCUUGUACAUGAAGGUCUGUCUUAUGUAUUAUAUUACUUAUACUGCCGCAUGCAUGCACACACAGACACACAGUUCACUAUGCUAAUAAACUUACUCUUUAUAUAUAUCUAACGGUUGUGUCUCUGUCUCUCACUUUCCUUGCUGGCACUUGCUCGCAUUUCACAUGCGAGCCCUCUUAUGUCAUAUUAUAUGUUUUGUGUCGACCGUGCGACACGUUAAAAGGAGCCUGCUUCCAUACGUUGCCAUUCUCCUUGGUUCGCACGGUUGUUCUCUACAAUAUCAUAUGUUUUUAUAUAUUUUAUAUUUUAUUUUAAUUGUACAUUCUUUAUGUUUCCCCAAUGUAAUUGCAUGUCCCUCUUUGUCGGCCCCUCGUGGGUAAUAAAGAAAUAUAUGCUGAAUA
Molecule: long non-coding RNA, 1346 nt
Organism: Octopus bimaculoides (California two-spot octopus)
Lineage: Eukaryota; Metazoa; Mollusca; Cephalopoda; Octopoda; Octopodidae
Source: RefSeq, a predicted model, not a curated record